UGGGGGGGGGAACAGCUUAUAGUUGAUAAUUUCCUAGCUGACAUAUGGGAGCUUGCUCCCUGAUGUUAGCGGCGGNACGGGUGUAGUAACACGUGGGUAACCUGCCUGUAAGACUGGGAUAACUCCGGGAAACCGGGGCUAAUACCGGAUGGUUGUUUGAACCGCAUGGUUCAGACAUAAAAGGUGGCUUCGGCUACCACUUACAGAUGGACCCGCGGCGCAUUAGCUAGUUGGUGAGGUAACGGCUCACCAAGGCAACGAUGCGUAGCCGACCUGAGAGGGUGAUCGGCCACACUGGGACUGAGACACGGCCCAGACUCCUACGGGAGGCAGCAGUAGGGAAUCUUCCGCAAUGGACGAAAGUCUGACGGAGCAACGCCGCGUGAGUGAUGAAGGUUUUCGGAUCGUAAAGCUCUGUUGUUAGGGAAGAACAAGUGCCGUUCAAAUAGGGCGGCACCUUGACGGUACCUAACCAGAAAGCCACGGCUAACUACGUGCCAGCAGCCGCGGUAAUACGUAGGUGGCAAGCGUUGUCCGGAAUUAUUGGGCGUAAAGGGCUCGCAGGCGGUUUCUUAAGUCUGAUGUGAAAGCCCCCGGCUCAACCGGGGAGGGUCAUUGGAAACUGGGGAACUUGAGUGCA
Molecule: ribosomal RNA, 640 nt
Filed under: Bacillus velezensis
Lineage: Bacteria; Bacillati; Bacillota; Bacilli; Caryophanales; Bacillaceae
Description: bacterial SSU rRNA
Rfam family: Bacterial small subunit ribosomal RNA
Source: RNAcentral